This 925-nucleotide long non-coding RNA is filed under the name Homo sapiens (human). Its description in RNAcentral is "HSALNT0389489". Lineage: Eukaryota; Metazoa; Chordata; Mammalia; Primates; Hominidae. The record is from RNAcentral.
CAUCAUUCUACCCCCAGAGCUGACAGAUUUGGCAAAUAAAAUUUACAAGAUGCCCUGUUAAAUUAGAAUUUCAGACAAACAACCUACUCCACACUGACUCAGGAGGGUCCCUCAGAGAUAGAUGUCACUGAGCCUCGGGAAGCAGGAAGCUCCAUCCCUGCCCAUUAAGCCCCCUCUCAGGGUCCCCUCAAGGAAGACAGUGGCUCCAGAAGCUCUCCAUGUUCUAAAGAAGGCUUCUGGAACCCCAGUUCUGUGACGUCAUCCAUCUCCUGGAAAUACACUGGUUUUAACCAGGCAAAUUGGCCAAGCAUCAGGCAGAAGUAGCAGCUGGGCCUGGGAGGACAGAGAUGGAGUCUCACUCUGGAGUGAUCUCGGCUCACUGCAACCUCUGCCUCCUGGGUUCAAGCAAUUCUGCCUCAGCCUCCCGAGUAGCUGGGACUACAGGUGCAUGCCACCAUGCCUGGCUAAUUUUUUUUUGUAUUUUAGUAGCGACAGGGUUUCACCUUGUUGCCCAGGCUGGUCUUGAGCUCCUGAGCUCAGGCAAUCUGCCUGCCUCGGCCUCCCAAAGUGCUAGGAUUACAGGCGUGAGCCACCACGCCCGGCCGAUUAUGUUAUGUUAUGUAUGUUAAAGUAUGUCCUAUCCUCAUCCUCUGACAAAUAUGCCUUUAAAAGGAUAAAAUUUUAAAAUAUAUAUGAAGCUAUGAUUUGUAUAUGACAGAAAGUUAGCAAAAUGUCAAAGAUCAUGAAAUUUCAUGUUUAUUGCGCAUGUCUGGGUGCUCUGUUGAUGGGCUGACAAUAUUGGGAUGAGUAAUAAAGAUGUGGAAUUUAUAAAUUACUGAAACUAUUCCAUGAAAUGUAUUUUUCUUAUCUUUCAGCAAAAUCGGUAAUUAUGUUAUUAUUAUCAAGAUUUGAAAAUACAUGUAAG